GGUGCUUGUCAAGACCGAGGCUGUAAUGAUAUUCUGGGCAAAAUGGAGCUUCAGUAAGAAGUGGAGUAUCUGCUCCGGUCUGGCUUCGUGUGACCUCACAUGGUGAAUAGUGGAUAAUGAGCCGAAAUAGCCACCCUGUCAGGCACGUUUGAAGUGCAAAUUGUUGGCAGACAGCUUCCCUUUGAACCUUCGAAGUCACCUCACCAAUUCUUUAAUGGAGCAGUGACAGGGUGACCUCUCAACCCACUGACUGGGGUCAAAGUUUGCUCCCUCACUGUUCACUCUCCAAGGCCAUAACCCUGAGAGGAAAUGACCGCAUAAUGCAUGCAGUUAUAGAUCUGGACUGAGGACGGCUGUGCAUGCUGAUAAAGUGAUUGCAGUAUUUCAUUACAUAACUCUCAGACACCGGCAGCAAUGAAGAUGAAGAAUUAUAUUUUGGGACCUUCCAACACACUAUAAAGAGCAUAUGUGUGUGUGAGUGUGUACACUAAAGUGUGUGUAUGUGUGAGGAAUGCUCCAGGCACUUUAAGACAGUAAUCACUCAACAGUUGAGACAUGGUGUGCUGAGGUGAACCUAUCUACCCAUUUCAAGGUUUGACCUUGUGUUUGCAUACGCACGUACACGCAUGUAUCCCUGAGUGUUUCGGGAGCAGCGUGUGUUUAGGUUUGAUAAAUGUGUCUGUCUGGGAGCUCUUUAAAUCACUCUGCAUGUGCUUCACUGAGUUGUUGUUUUCAAUCUUGCCUAAAAAGAAAAUAAGAAAGUGCUCAUGCAAAUCCAUAAUCAGUGCUAUAUAUACAUUAUAUAUGACCAAAAGUAUAUGCUGACCUGAUCAUCAUACCCACAUGUGGUCCUUUCUCAUGUUCUAUGUGAGCAUACAGUUGGAUAGAAAAUAAAGGAGGUGGUAGCUUAGUGGUUAAGGCAUUGAUUCGAAGUCCUAGCCACACCAAGAUGCCACUUUUGGGUCCCUGAGCAAGGCUCUUAUCCGCAUAGCUGCUCAGUUGAUAAAUGAAAAUGUAAUGUAAAUCUGUUUGUAAUUUAUGCCAUUUUGCAAACGCCUGAUUCAGGGCGACUUACAUUUAUCAGAGCAGUUGAGAGUAACUGGCCUUGCUCAAGGGCCCAUCAGCGAUACUAGGAUUUUAAUUAAUGACCUUCUGAUUAGAGGGACAACAUCUUUACCACUGAGCUACUGACCUCCCUGGAAGUGAGUGUCCCUUCACUGGAUCUAAGGGGCCCUAAUAUGCUCCAGCAUGACAAUGCUCCUGUCCGCAAAGUGAGCUCUAUGAAAACAUGACUUGUCAAAGUUAGAAUAAAAGAUUUUAAAUGAAGUGAAGUGAAGUGAAGUGAAGUGAAGCUGUUCUGAACAGCUCUCAAAUAAACUGUACACCAGCUCUCUUCAUGUGACAUCAGUGCCUGAUUUCACUAAUGCUCUUAUUGUUCAAUGAGCACAAAUCCCAACAAGGAUACACUUAUGGAAAGCCUUUCCCAAACAGUAGAAGAUUGUUUGGUUUUACAAUAACACCAAAGAGUUGACUUAAUCUGGAAUGGGAUGUACAACAUUUGGUCUCCUAGGAUAUCCACAAUGUUUGCCCAUAUAGUCCCUUAUAUACAAUAUGAAGUUGUUUUCAUAAUUGAUAUUCAGUGCAUGUUCUCAUAUAACCGAUACUAACAGCGUUUAAUGAGAGCCUCUGAGAGACUCGUGUCUUCCAGCAUUUAUUUUAUAUUCAUUUCAUAUUGUAAAUUGUUUUUCAACUUCUUUUUAUUGUGUUGAACCUUUAUUUAAUCGUUACCUCCGGUCUUCUUCGCAAUAAGUAUUAUAAAAAGGGAACAAUUCUAGCUGUUGUGACAUGGUAGACAUUUUGCUGCCAUUGUUAGGCUUCUCAUACCCCUCACAUUUUCUAUUAUGGAUUUUACAGCCACAAAAACACAACCUGACUGAACAUCUGUUUGAGUAUUUGGAUAGAUUUUUAGACAGCACUAAACCACAAACAUCACUAUUUGAGUU
This is a long non-coding RNA of Silurus meridionalis, 2003 nucleotides long. RefSeq lists it as uncharacterized. The transcript is spliced from 3 exons. NCBI's taxonomy places the organism in Eukaryota, Metazoa, Chordata, Actinopteri, Siluriformes, Siluridae. The record is from RefSeq and is a predicted model, not a curated record.